This 847-nucleotide long non-coding RNA is filed under the name Mustela putorius furo (domestic ferret). RNAcentral's name for it is "lncRNA (ENSMPUG00000024571.1)". Lineage: Eukaryota; Metazoa; Chordata; Mammalia; Carnivora; Mustelidae. The record is from RNAcentral.
UGCUGCUUGCAGUGGAAAGGGCAAGCUCUGUGAUUAUGAACUCCUUUUCUGCUUCUCCAUAACCAGGAAUAGUGGAGAUUAUUCAUGUUCUCCAUGUUUCUGUUGCCAGUUCUAAAUGUGCAUUCACAGCUCUGCCUUUUACUCCUAACCACCUGCACCUGCAGGUUUCCCAGACAAUUGUUCUUUGGCUACGGAAGCAGAAUUGGAAUUCACAAAUCCUCAGUGCUCCCACUUUCAUCCAGCUGCUGCAAGUAGACAUAGUUUCAGAUCCCUUGCCUCCAGGAAGGACAUUGUGUGAGGGAGAUUUUACCCACAGGAUCAAGUCCUGGCUUGCACUUCACUUGAAAUCAUACCUUUGCUCAGCUUUUCCUGUUCACACAUCCUGCUUUUCCUGUGUCCUUUCCAGUUUCCCCUCAAUAAACCACUUUCACCCAAAUCCUCUCACAUCAGAGUUUGAACUCUGGAAACCCAACCUAGGAUGCCGGGUCAAACCCACUUCUGGAAGUCACCAGGCCUGAGAAGCACCAUCAUCUUGGCACAACCAACUUUCACAUCUCAUAAGAGUAGAAGCAAAGACUUUUUUCCAGAAGAAAAGAAGACGCAAGUUUCAUACACUGUUCCAUCUUGCAUUGUUCCUGCUGCUCACAGUGCGUGUGUGAUGUCUUGUCCCCAAGGACGUGUGGUGAUUAUCCAACAUGGUAGGUGUAAUUUAUCAGCUCCCCCCCACCAAGUAUUUGAAGAAACAAUUCUACCCACAGUCCAAUAAAAUCCCUUUUCAUCACCGAGGAUGUAUCUAUGGCACCAGUGACUGACCAAGCACAGGUGGUAUUUGCUAGGACUUAGAAAU